Molecule: ribosomal RNA, 469 nt
Filed under: Salmonella enterica subsp. enterica serovar Kedougou
Lineage: Bacteria; Pseudomonadati; Pseudomonadota; Gammaproteobacteria; Enterobacterales; Enterobacteriaceae
Description: partial 23S ribosomal RNA
Rfam family: Bacterial large subunit ribosomal RNA
Source: RNAcentral
GGCCAAUCAAACCGGGAGAUAGCUGGUUCUCCCCGAAAGCUAUUUAGGUAGCGCCUCGUGAACUCAUCUCCGGGGGUAGAGCACUGUUUCGGCUAGGGGGCCAUCCCGGCUUACCAACCCGAUGCAAACUGCGAAUACCGGAGAAUGUUAUCACGGGAGACACACGGCGGGUGCUAACGUCCGUCGUGAAGAGGGAAACAACCCAGACCGCCAGCUAAGGUCCCAAAGUCAUGGUUAAGUGGGAAACGAUGUGGGAAGGCCCAGACAGCCAGGAUGUUGGCUUAGAAGCAGCCAUCAUUUAAAGAAAGCGUAAUAGCUCACUGGUCGAGUCGGCCUGCGCGGAAGAUGUAACGGGGCUAAACCAUGCACCGAAGCUGCGGCAGCGACGCUUAUGCGUUCGUUGGGUAGGGGAGCGUUCUGUAAGCCUGUGAAGGUGGCCUGUGAGGGUUGCUGGAGGUAUCAGAAGUGC